RNAcentral lists this ribosomal RNA (617 nucleotides) under uncultured bacterium. Its description in RNAcentral is "bacterial SSU rRNA". It matches the Rfam family "Bacterial small subunit ribosomal RNA", at positions 338 to 951 of the family's 1533-position model. The record is from RNAcentral.
CCUACGGGAGGCAGCAGUGGGGAAUUUUGGACAAUGGGCGCAAGCCUGAUCCAGCAAUGCCGCGUGAGUGAAGAAGGCCUUCGGGUUGUAAAGCUCUUUUGUCAGGGAAGAAACGGUGGGAGCUAAUAUCUCCCGCUAAUGACGGUACCUGAAGAAUAAGCACCGGCUAACUACGUGCCAGCAGCCGCGGUAAUACGUGGGGUGCAAGCGUUAAUCGGAAUUACUGGGCGUAAAGCGUGCGCAGGCGGUUUUGUAAGUCUGUCGUGAAAGCCCCGGGCUCAACCUGGGAAUUGCGAUGGAGACUGCAAGGCUUGAAUCUGGCAGAGGGGGGUAGAAUUCCACGUGUAGCAGUGAAAUGCGUAGAGAUGUGGAGGAACACCGAUGGCGAAGGCAGCCCCCUGGGUCAAGAUUGACGCUCAUGCACGAAAGCGUGGGGAGCAAACAGGAUUAGAUACCCUGGUAGUCCACGCCCUAAACGAUGUCUACUAGUUGUCGGGCUUUAAUUAACUUGGUAACGCAGCUAACGCGUGAAGUAGACCGCCUGGGGAGUACGGUCGCAAGAUUAAAACUCAAAGGAUUGACGGNNGAGAGAGACGAGACGACGACGAGGGAGGAGG